ACACGACUCUCGGCAACGGAUAUCUCGGCUCUCGCAUCGAUGAAGAACGUAGCGAAAUGCGAUACCUGGUGUGAAUUGCAGAAUCCCGCGAACCAUCGAGUCUUUGAACGCAAGUUGCGCCCAAGGCCAUUCGGCCGAGGGCACGCCUGCCUGGGCGUCACGC
RNAcentral lists this ribosomal RNA (163 nucleotides) under Deschampsia mejlandii. RNAcentral's name for it is "5.8S ribosomal RNA". It matches the Rfam family "5.8S ribosomal RNA". Rfam says of the family: 5.8S ribosomal RNA (5.8S rRNA) is a component of the large subunit of the eukaryotic ribosome. It is transcribed by RNA polymerase I as part of the 45S precursor that also contains 18S and 28S rRNA. Lineage: Eukaryota; Viridiplantae; Streptophyta; Magnoliopsida; Poales; Poaceae. The record is from RNAcentral.